This 480-nucleotide ribosomal RNA is filed under the name uncultured bacterium. Its description in RNAcentral is "partial 16S ribosomal RNA". It matches the Rfam family "Bacterial small subunit ribosomal RNA", at positions 28 to 507 of the family's 1533-position model. The record is from RNAcentral.
GAUGAACGCUGGCGGCGUGCUUAACACAUGCCAGUCGAACGGAACUACUCCAAUGAGAGUCUUCGGAAAGGAUUUGGUUUAGUUUAGUGGCGGACGGGUGAGUAACGCGUGGGUAACCUGCCCUAUACAGGGGGAUAACAGUUGGAAACGACUGUUAAUACCGCAUAAGCGCACAGGAGCGCAUGCUCCGGUGUGAAAAACUCCGGUGGUAUAGGAUGGACCCGCGUCUGAUUAGCUGGUUGGCGGGGUAACGGCCCACCAAGGCGACGAUCAGUAGCCGGCCUGAGAGGGUGAACGGCCACAUUGGGACUGAGACACGGCCCAAACUCCUACGGGAGGCAGCAGUGGGGAAUAUUGCACAAUGGGGGAAACCCUGAUGCAGCGACGCCGCGUGAGCGAAGAAGUAUCUCGGGAUGUAAAGCUCUAUCAGCAGGGAAGAAAAUGACGGUACCUGACGAAGAAGCCCCGGCUAACUACGUG